This 495-nucleotide ribosomal RNA is filed under the name uncultured bacterium. RNAcentral's name for it is "partial 16S ribosomal RNA". It matches the Rfam family "Bacterial small subunit ribosomal RNA", at positions 28 to 507 of the family's 1533-position model. The record is from RNAcentral.
GACGAACGCUGGCGGCGUGCCUAAUACAUGCAAGUAGAACGCUGAAGGAGGAGCUUGCUUCUCUGGAUGAGUGGCGAACGGGUGAGUAACGCGUAGGUAACCUGCCUGGUAGCGGGGGAUAACUAUUGGAAACGAUAGCUAAUACCGCAUAAUAGUAGAUGUUGCAUGACAUUUGCUUAAAAGGUGCAAUUGCAUCACUACCAGAUGGACCUGCGUUGUAUUAGCUAGUUGGUGGGGUAACGGCUCACCAAGGCGACGAUACAUAGCCGACCUGGGAGGGUGAUCGGCCACACUGGGACUGAGACACGGCCCAGACUCCUACGGGAGGCAGCAGUAGGGAAUCUUCGGCAAUGGACGGAAGUCUGACCGAGCAACGCCGCGUGAGUGAAGAAGGUUUUCGGAUCGUAAAGCUCUGUUGUAAGAGAAGAACGAGUGUGGGAGUGGAAAGUUCACACUGUGACGGUAUCUUACCAGAAAGGGACGGCUAACUACGUG